AGUGAACGCUGGCGGUAGGCCUAACACAUGCAAGUCGAACGGCAGCACAGUAAGAGCUUGCUCUUACGGGUGGCGAGUGGCGGACGGGUGAGGAAUACAUCGGAAUCUACUUUUUCGUGGGGGAUAACGUAGGGAAACUUACGCUAAUACCGCAUACGACCUACGGGUGAAAGCAGGGGAUCUUCGGACCUUGCGCGAUUGAAUGAGCCGAUGUCGGAUUAGCUAGUUGGCGGGGUAAAGGCCCACCAAGGCGACGAUCGGUAGCUGGCCUGAGAGGAUGAUCAGCCACACUGGAACUGAGACACGGUCCAGACUCCUACGGGAGGCAGCAGUGGGGAAUAUUGGACAAUGGGCGCAAGCCUGAUCCAGCCAUACCGCGUGGGUGAAGAAGGCCUUCGGGUUGUAAAGCCCUUUUGUUGGGAAAGAAAAGCAGCAGGUUAAUACCCCGCUGUUCUGACGGUACCCAAAGAAUAAGCACCGGCUAACUUCGUG
Molecule: ribosomal RNA, 492 nt
Filed under: uncultured bacterium
Lineage: Bacteria
Description: partial 16S ribosomal RNA
Rfam family: Bacterial small subunit ribosomal RNA
Source: RNAcentral